CUAUAAUUCAGUGGUUGUCGUUUGUUUAUGUGUUACAUAUUUGUUUUUCGUUCCUUUUUUUACAUAAAUAAGGCCGUUAGUUUUCUCGUUUGAAUUGUUUUACAUUGUCUUAAAGGGGCCUUUUAUAGCUGACUAUGCGGUAUGGGCUUUGCUCAUUGUUGAAGGCCGUACGGUGACCUAUAGUUGUUAAUGUCUGUGUCAUUUUGGUCUUUUGUGGAUAGUUGUCUCAUUGGCAAUAAUACCACAUCUUCUUUUUUAUAUAGUCGA
Molecule: long non-coding RNA, 267 nt
Filed under: Mytilus galloprovincialis (Mediterranean mussel)
Lineage: Eukaryota; Metazoa; Mollusca; Bivalvia; Mytilida; Mytilidae
Source: RNAcentral